AGAACGAACGCUGGCGGCAUGCCUAACACAUGCAAGUCGAACGAGACCUUCGGGUCUAGUGGCGCACGGGUGCGUAACGCGUGGGAAUCUGCCCUUAGGUACGGAAUAACAGUGAGAAAUUACUGCUAAUACCGUAUGAUGUCUUCGGACCAAAGAUUUAUCGCCUAGGGAUGAGCCCGCGUUGGAUUAGCUAGUUGGUGGGGUAAAGGCCUACCAAGGCGACGAUCCAUAGCUGGUCUGAGAGGAUGAUCAGCCACACUGGGACUGAGACACGGCCCAGACUCCUACGGGAGGCAGCAGUGGGGAAUAUUGGACAAUGGGCGAAAGCCUGAUCCAGCAAUGCCGCGUGAGUGAAGAAGGCCUUAGGGUUGUAAAGCUCUUUUUACCCGGGAAGAUAAUGACUGUACCGGGAGAAUAAGCCCCGGCUAACUCCGUGCCAGCAGCCGC
This 447-nucleotide ribosomal RNA is filed under the name uncultured bacterium. RNAcentral describes it as "SSU rRNA". It matches the Rfam family "Bacterial small subunit ribosomal RNA", at positions 26 to 518 of the family's 1533-position model. The record is from RNAcentral.